AACCUUUACACUGCACGACAGUGCGAUAGGGGGACUCCGAGUGUGAGGGCAUAUAGCCCUCGCUUUUCUGUACCGUAAGGUGGUACAGGAACAAGGACUGGGCAAGACCGGUGCCAGCCGCCGCGGUAAUACCGGCAGUCCGAGUGAUGGCCGAUAUUAUUGGGCCUAAAGCGUCCGUAGCCUGCUGUGUAAGUCCAUUGGGAAAUCGACCAGCUCAACUGGUCGGCGUCCGGUGGAAACUACACAGCUUGGGGCCGAGAGACUCAACGGGUACGUCCGGGGUAGGAGUGAAAUCCUGUAAUCCUGGACGGACCACCAAUGGGGAAACCACGUUGAGAGACCGGACCCGACAGUGAGGGACGAAAGCCAGGGUCUCGAACCGGAUUAGAUACCCGGGUAGUCCUGGCUGUAAACAAUGCUCGCUAGGUAUGUCACGCGCCAUGAGCACGUGAUGUGCCGUAGUGAAGACGAUAAGCGAGCCGCCUGGGAAGUACGUCCGCAAGGAUGAAACUUAA
Molecule: ribosomal RNA, 515 nt
Filed under: uncultured archaeon
Lineage: Archaea
Description: bacterial SSU rRNA
Rfam family: Archaeal small subunit ribosomal RNA
Source: RNAcentral